RNAcentral lists this ribosomal RNA (108 nucleotides) under Erinaceus europaeus (western European hedgehog). The record is from RNAcentral. Lineage: Eukaryota; Metazoa; Chordata; Mammalia; Eulipotyphla; Erinaceidae.
GUCUACAGCCAUACCACCCUGAACACGCCCGAUCUCGUCUGAUCUCGGAAGCUAAGCAGGGUCGGGCCUGGUUAGUACUUGGAUGGGAGAACAUAACGUGCGAGGAUU